Molecule: ribosomal RNA, 321 nt
Filed under: Nitrosospira sp.
Lineage: Bacteria; Pseudomonadati; Pseudomonadota; Betaproteobacteria; Nitrosomonadales; Nitrosomonadaceae
Description: bacterial SSU rRNA
Rfam family: Bacterial small subunit ribosomal RNA
Source: RNAcentral
UAAUCUCUACGGAGAAAAGCAGGGGAUCGCAAGGCCUUGCGCUCUUGGAGCGGCCGAUGCCUGAUUAGCUAGUUGGUGAGGUAAAGGCUUACCAAGGCGACGAUCAGUAGCUGGUCUGAGAGGACGACCAGCCACACUGGGACUGAGACACGGCCCAGACUCCUACGGGAGGCAGCAGUGGGGAAUUUUGGACAAUGGGGGAAACCCUGAUCCAGCCAUGCCGCGUGAGUGAAGAAGGCCUUCGGGUUGUAAAGCUCUUUCAGCCGGAACGAAACGGUCACGGCUAAUACCUGUGACUACUGACGGUACCGGAAGAAGAAG